AGAGUUUGAUCCUGGCUCAGAAUCAACGCUGGCGGCGUGCCUCAGACAUGCAAGUCGAACGAUUAAACUUCUCUUCGGAGAAGAUAUAAAGUGGCGCACGGGUGAGUAACACGUAGGUAAUGUACCUUUGGGUGGGGAAUAACUUAGGGAAACUUAAGCUAAUACCGCAUAAUGCAGCGGCUCCUUCGGGAGACAGUUGUUAAAGAUUUAUCGCCUAAAGAGCAGCCUGCGGCAGAUUAGCUAGUUGGUAAGGUAACGGCUUACCAAGGCUACGAUCUGUAUCCGACCUGAGAGGGUGGUCGGACACACUGACACUGAAUAACGGGUCAGACUCCUACGGGAGGCAGCAGUCGGGAAUUUUGGGCAAUGGGCGAAAGCCUGACCCAGCAACGCCGCGUGAAGGAUGAAGUCUUUCGGGAUGUAAACUUCGUAAGAAUAGGAAGAAUAAAUGACGGUACUAUUUGUAAGGUCCGGCUAACUACGUGCCAGCAGCCGCGGUAAUACGUAGGGACCAAGCGUUGUUCGGAUUUACUGGGCGUAAAGGGCGCGUAGGCGGCGUGACAAGUCAAUUGUGAAAUCUCCGGGCUUAACUCGGAACGGUCAAUUGAUACUGUUGUGCUAGAGUACAGAAGGGGCAAUCGGAAUUCUUGGUGUAGCGGUGAAAUGCGUAGAUAUCAAGAGGAACACCUGAGGUGAAGACGGGUUGCUGGGCUGAUACUGACGCUGAGGCGCGAAAGCUAGGGUAGCAAACGGGAUUAGAUACCCCGGUAGUCCUAGCCCUAAACGAUGAAUACUUGGUGUCUGGAGUUUUAUUCUCCGGGUGCCGUCGCUAACGUUUUUAGUAUUCCGCCUGGGGGAGUACGCACGCAAGUGUGAAACUCAAAGGAAUUGACGG
Molecule: ribosomal RNA, 895 nt
Filed under: uncultured bacterium
Lineage: Bacteria
Description: bacterial SSU rRNA
Rfam family: Bacterial small subunit ribosomal RNA
Source: RNAcentral